Molecule: long non-coding RNA, 1553 nt
Filed under: Musa acuminata (dwarf banana)
Lineage: Eukaryota; Viridiplantae; Streptophyta; Magnoliopsida; Zingiberales; Musaceae
Description: long non-coding RNA (MACU_LNC002258)
Source: RNAcentral
AGCACUUCAUUUAUGGUUGGCACGAAGCCAGUGAGAGCACAAAAAAGAUCAACUGCAUUGAUGGCCAUUAAUUGUCCACAACUGUUAAUAAUCUUCAGAAAAUGGCUGUGUUCAGUGUUCAGCUGAUGCGGGGAUUGUCAUGUUGGUUUGAUGAAGAGCAUGCAACCAAACUUAUCCAUGAAAUAAUGCAGCUGAAAGACCAAAGACUUCCUGCUCAUCAUCAUCAACUUAAUAGUCCAUAGAUUGUUCUGCUUGGUGGUGGUCACUCAGGUCAUCUCAGAAGCUUAAAUUGGAUCCAAGCUUGACAAUUUGCAAUCUGUAUGUUCAUUUUUGAUGAGAAAUAUCUCCCCUUGUCAAGUCUUGAUGAUGAGUUGUGCAUACUUUGCUGCUCUUUUUGCUCCCACCAUCACUAUCCUCACAUUUGGCUUGUCCAAAUGGGUGAAGCUCACCUGUCGGAGAUAAGGCAGUGUCUGUAUGCUAUAGAAAAAUGAAAGUGAAUUCAUACAAGAAAGAGAACUGAUGGAUGAACUUGUUUUCGUGUCUGUUGACACAGAGAGCUAUUCUUCCUCAUGCUUCAGUCAGUAUGCAUACCUUUUCUCAUGGUUGAAGAAGAUGAUGAUAAUAUCAAGCUCACAUGAGACUCACUUUUUCUUAGAUACUGAAGAGAUGCUCGUGUCUAGAGAAACCAGCUUUCAUCUUUUCUCUGACAUUUGCAGGUACUGCAUGGACCAGAAAAUUACUGCAAAUAACAGAAAGUAUUCCUCCAAAUUAACUUCCCCAGAAAUAUUACAUCCGACCUGAAGAAACCAAGGCUAGUGGUCAUCACGUUGUUCACACAAGUGGUGGAUCCAUCGAUGCCCGUGAUUCUUAUCCCAACUCUCAUUUCUUCUCAGAAGAAGCUGCAAGAUAGAAAUGAUUAGACCUUUUUGGGGAUCAAACGUCCAAGCUCAUCCGUCUGGCAGCUUCCAAAGUGUCUUGAAUGUGGAUCUGUGCUUGAUGUUUCCCUGUCAAGUCUUGAUCUGUUCUCAGACACCGGAGGAUGAGUGUUGCAGAUGAGCAAGGAUCUCAUGCUGUUCAUUCUCGUCACUUCUCAGUGCAAUUAUUCCAUGGGGUCUCUCUCCACAGUGGCUUUUCCGAUUCAGUAGUGAGCUGCAGCAUCACCUGGAAAUGGAAAACUCCUGCAAUGUUUUGAAGAAGUAUUAUAUAUUGGAGUUUUCUCCAUGUCAUGAUCAGAAACUUGCUCUCAAGUUUCACCGACUGUAAACACUUACAGAAAUGACUCAAUCAUGUCACCCAAACCCUAAACUUCUACCUUUUUGUUGAAGCAGUUGCUGCUGUGUAAUUGUGUUAGUAUAUUCCACAAAGACAAAUGACAAACGAAAUGAUCAUGAUCUCAAAUCCAUGCCUGACACAGGACCAAUGAAGCCAAAGAUGUCAAUGCCAGAAUCCCAUCAGCUUUUGGUUUGUGGUGAUACCACUCUUCCUGUAAAGAUGUCUCAAGUAUAUGAACUUUUUUCUUUCUGCUUAAAGAAAGAAGUAUAUAUCUGAAUACA